GUGGCCUCUUCCUUAUCCCUUAUUUUCUUUUCUUCAAAAAUCUUUUAAACUUUCUAGUGAUGAGGGCCAUUUCUUCAUCUUGAUCUUCAUUUUUUGUUUCUUCGAAUUUCUUAUCGAGUUGAGUAGUGGACUUGAGGGUGAUUGUUCUCUUCUUCUUGACAUCUUUUUGAUGUUGUUUCAUGCUUUGCUCGUGUGUCAUUAGCGAUCCUAGAAGCUCCUC
Molecule: long non-coding RNA, 220 nt
Filed under: Elaeis guineensis (African oil palm)
Lineage: Eukaryota; Viridiplantae; Streptophyta; Magnoliopsida; Arecales; Arecaceae
Description: long non-coding RNA (EGUI_LNC053206)
Source: RNAcentral